Molecule: ribosomal RNA, 253 nt
Filed under: uncultured bacterium
Lineage: Bacteria
Description: partial 16S ribosomal RNA
Rfam family: Bacterial small subunit ribosomal RNA
Source: RNAcentral
UACAGAGGGUGCGAGCGUUAAUCGGAAUUACUGGGCGUAAAGCGCACGUAGGCGGCUUGGUAUGUCGGGUGUGAAAUCCCCGGGCUCAACCUGGGAACUGCAUCCGAAACUGCCUUGCUCGAGUAUGGGAGAGGGAAGUGGAAUUUCCGGUGUAGCGGUGAAAUGCGUAGAUAUCGGAAGGAACAUCAGUGGCGAAGGCGACUUCCUGGACCAAUACUGACGCUCAGGUGCGAAAGCUAGGGGAGCAAACGGG